Long non-coding RNA from Anguilla rostrata (American eel), 2888 nucleotides. RefSeq lists it as uncharacterized. The transcript is spliced from 3 exons. NCBI's taxonomy places the organism in Eukaryota, Metazoa, Chordata, Actinopteri, Anguilliformes, Anguillidae. The record is from RefSeq and is a predicted model, not a curated record.
GACUAUUUAACACGCUACAGACUACACAGUGCUGCAGGAGAGCCUGGGACUAUUUAACACUACAGACUACACAGUGCUACAGAAGAGCCUGGGACUAUUUAACACUACAGACUACACAGUGCUGCAGGAGAGCCUGGGACUAUUUAACACUACAGACUACACAGUGCUACAGAAGAGCCUGGGACUAUUUAACACUACAGACUACACAGUGCUGCAGGAGAGCCUGGGACUAUUUAACACUACAGACUACACAGUGCUGCAGGAGAGCCUGGGACUAUUUAACACUACAGACUACACAGUGCUGCAGGAGAGCCUGGGACUAUUUAACACUACAGACUACACAGUGCUACAGAAGAGCCUGGGACUGUUUAACACUACAGACUACACAGUGCUGCAGGAGAGCCUGGUACUAUUUAACACUACAGACUACACAGUGCUGCAGGAGAGCCUGGGACUAUUUAACACUACAGACUACACAGUGCUACAGAAGAGCCUGGGACUGUUUAACACUACAGACUACACAGUGCUGCAGGAGAGCCUGGUACUAUUUAACACUACAGACUACACAGUGCUACAGAAGAGCCUGGGACUGUUUAACACUACAGACUACACAGUGCUGCAGAAGAGCCAGGGACUGUUUAACACGCUCCCCCCAUACUGCAGAGAACCAUCAACUGGCUGAAGACCUGAAUGUGUAUUACUGCAGGUUUGAUCAGCCCACUUUCACACCCCUCACCCACCUCAACUCAAGCAUUAUACAACCAACUGCACCCCCUGCUACCACCUCCUCCCUCCCCCCUGACUCCCCACCGGCACUGACGGUCUGUGAAGAGAACGUGUAUCAGCUCUUUCAGAGACAGAAGAUCAGGAAGGCGCCAGGCCCACACGGCGUGUCACCCUCCUGUCUGAAAGUCUGCGCUGACCGGCUGGCCCACAUCUUCACACGGAUCUUCAACAGAUCGCUGGAGCUUUGUGUAGUCCCCUCCUGCUUCAAACACUCCACUAUCAUCCCGGUCCCCAAGAAACCCUCCAUCACUGGACUGAAUGACAACAGGCCUGUUGCCCUGACGUCUGUGGUCAUGAAGUCCUUCGAGAGACUGGUGCUGACCCACCUGACGGACAUCACAGGCCCCCUGCUGGACCCCCUACAGUUUGCCUAUCGGGAAAACAGGUCAGUAGAUGAUGCAGUGAACAUAGGACUGCACCACAUCCUGCAACACCUCGACUCCCCAGGGACGUACGCAAGGAUCCUGCUCAGCAUUCAGCUCGGCAUUCAAUACCAUCAUCCCAGAACUCCUCCUCACCAAACUCACCCAGCUCACUGUGCCUCCAUCUGCCAGUGGGUCACAAACUUCCUGAUAGACAGGAAGCAGCAGGUGAGGCUUGGAAAAAUCACAUCCAGCACCCGAACAGUCAGCACUGGCGCCCCUCAGGGAUGUAGCCAGGGACUAUUUAACAUGCUACAGACUACACAGUGCUGCAGGAGAGCCUUUGACUAAAUUACCAGUCUCUCCAGCAGGUGGUGGGCCCAGGCCCAGUCGUGUCCUGUAACUGCAGUUCCAGUCAUAGUUUACUCAGACUAAGUUAAGUUAAGAGUAAGGUUUACUUAGGCUGAGGCUCAAACUUUUGGCCUCUGGGUCCAGUCUGCAGUCAAAGUGAAUGCAUUUAUUAGCUUUGCUGGCCACUCAGGCUGCCUAAAAUUAGCUUUUUACUUCAGUUUUCUGGACAUCAAUUCCUCAGUUAUUUAGUAUUGUAUGUUUAUUUAAAGUAGACUGUCUGGUGGCAUAGUGGACUACCUGUCUCUUCUCAACAAAAAGCCCUUCUUCAAAUUAUUCAACUUACUUUUAGGACUGAAUUUACUCUUUACAAUCAGGAAGCUAUGCCCUUCUUUCUAUUUCCUGUGUGAUGUUUACCAGUAAAGACACUAGAAAUAACACACAGUACAACCAACAUAUGAGAAAUACCACAAAAUUAUCAUUCUAAGCUUUAGUAGCCAGAUAACACAAGGCCUAUGACCUUAACUAUGCCAAAUCUACUUAUUAAUAGAUGUUUGUAGCAUACACUCACUGCAUUCAGUUGUUGAAUUAUAUUUGAAGUCUUGCCGUGUCACCUUCUCACUUUUGGUCUUAAGCAGAAUGGGUAGCUAUAUGUCCUGCCGUUUCAUGUCAGACCAGAGAUGCCACCCAGCAGUGGGAAAGCUGAACAUCGACACAGUGUUCAGCAACCACCGGGACAGGGCACCACGACCUCAACUCCUGAAAGACCUGAGUGUAAUAUUAUCCUUCUGGGAUACAGGAUCUGGGCGGCCCAGGACCAGCUUCAAAUCUGGAACACCCCAGCUAUUGGCAGGAGAGGUGUAUCUGGCUCAAAAUCGACCCAAUUAUGCUGCAAUGUGCACCAGACAUUAGAAUCACUGUAAUGUUGGAGUCUCAAACAAAACAUUUGCACGAUCAAAGACAUUUGAAGUUGGUGUGGUCUUGCAGAUGGAGAUCAUACUUUAUCGAAGUUUUUUUGCAGUGUUUCUCACCUCUGCUGUGAAUUGUUGAGUGUGAGACCUGUAUCUCAAGCCCGAUCAGCUGGGUCACAUUUAUUUUGGAACAUCACAAAACAGAUUAUAGGAUAACAUGAACAGCCCCAUUUUGUGUGUCAGCGUCUGUGUGUGUGCGUGCAUGUGGGUGUGCGGGUGAGUGUUUCUGUCUGAUGAAUGUACUGAUAUAGACUCAUCCAUCCAUUUCCUAUGGCCAGCCAUAUUUGACUAGAAACACUACAGAUGCACAAAAUUUGAAGUUGUAAAUUGGUCAUAUUUGACGGGAACACAACCUAAAAUAUUAACAACAAAUUUUACAAAUAACAAUGGCAUGAGACAUUUACAAAAGUAUAAUUCCAAA